CACAAUGGCAGCACAUGUAAGUAAAACUUUUCCGGGUUCAUGUUUUCACUAAGUGCUUCCCUGCAGUCGUUCACUGUUUGAGAACACAUGGGAUAUAUUGGCUUAUUUCAGUGUCUGCAAAGCAGUGGCCAAAGCCUUUACCACCUCAGAGAACUGAUCCGAUGGAGAGAUGUUCAGUUCACUGAAGUAUUUUUUAUAAAGGCAGCUAGACUAUGGAGACAAGCUGCAUAGAUUUAUUCAUGGAAGCAUUUCAGAUCUUAGCGUACACAUUUGUGAGCUUGAUUUCCUACCAUGCAUCACAACAGUUAAGAGUAUAUUUUAACCAGAGAUAUAGUCUAUCUGUGAAAUAUGUAUUUUGUCAAUUAUGGCUGCAGUUUGUAUGCAAUUUUAGAGUGCUUUUUUUUUCUUUUUUUUUUCCUUUUAACUGAUUUUGGAAUGGUAUCAUGGGCAGUAAAUUAGGUAGAUGCAGAUUUUUCUGAAAUGGUUGCUAAAACCAAAUAUACAGUAUUUGUCAUGUGAAGCAUAGAAAAAAAAUCCUUUAAUAGUAUUUGUGACUUUGCAUUCUAUUCAGUUGCAAGCACAAAGAUUAUCUGGAAUAUAUCAGAGCGAAUGUAAUCAAAAUAAAGUACGCAGACAGAAAGAAGGCAGCAAAAAGAGCUUGGUGUUUUUGAUCUAAACUCAAACUUAGUUAUCUGCACAUUGAUAUUUUGUGUAGCUGUGGAUUGUAAAGGGUAUGUGGUUGCCUAUUUUGUUAGUAAUGGUCACAACAUGAUAUCUUAUACAUAAGUAGACCAGCCAUUUUGCAGUAUCUCUGCUAACAGUGAAUGCAUAAACAAAACACAGAUGUUUUCAUUUUGUAUAACCUGAUACUUAGUGGGCACAGGUUGACUAACCACUGCCCAUCCCUGACCACACUGCAGCUGUAUCCAGCUGUGAUAAUAAAAAAAUGUUCCUGCCAUUCAGUGAGCAGAAAUCUCAAAUGCUAACUCAGCUAGUUAAAAAGCUUGCUUAAAUCAAACUGUAGUGUAGACUUGGAUGGAUAUGGUUUCUCCUGGAUUUGAGUUUUUCAGUGGAGAGCUGAAGCCAGUUAGAGGUACACUGUCUUCUUCUCAUUGUCUAGUUUUGCCUGCUGACAGAGAAUUCAUUGCAACUGGAUAUUUCUCCUGUUUCAGAGGGGAUAUGCUUGAAGAUUCCAAGGAAAUGUUAUUACUUUUUCUUACUCAGUUUCUGUGCCCUAGUAACUCGAGGGUAUAAUACAGAAUGAAGUGUCUCUUUUCAACUGGAAACAGAACUGGAACAAUAUGGUCUUUUCAGAAGAAGACUAGGAACCUCCAUGUUUUUGUUGACACUUUGGUUUACAAUUUUUUAUUUGCUUUCACAAUGAAAACUAAUAUGACGGUGAGACUUUGGGAGAAGAAUGAAGAGUGAAUGUGUAUGUUCUGCAUCUUUUAUUCAUUUCUGUUUUCAGUAGUGGGACAGUGGACUGCAAGGCAAACUGACAUUUGUAGCCAAACUUCCUCAAACCAUUUUCUCAGUGAGUUUCAGUUUGAACAGUGGGGUUGAUGAAAUCUGUGGUCAACAGAGGACCCUACUCUUUGCCAGUGUGCAUCCUGAGCCUCAUUGGUGUAAUUUCGGUGAAGCUUGAGAGGGUUGUUCUGUGAGCUUCUCCACUCUACUUGUAAGAACGGAAUUUAUAGUGCAAAAAUAUGUCAGCUUAAUCUAUCUUCAAACAACAUUGGUGGUGUUAAACAUUGUUCAAUCACAUGGAAGAAGCGCAACAUCUACUAUACAGAGGUGAUUUGGGACAGAGGAGCAAAACAUACAAGUGAAUAGAAAGAUCUGUGCAGUUAUUUGUGACUGUGAAGAAAUGAACGGCCCUUGGAGAAAUCCAGAUGAAGUUCAGAUGUUUACUUGGAGCCAGUCAUUUUGGAUUUAACCAUGAAAAGAAGAAAUAUAAUCUCAUAGUAUACAAAGACUCUCUUUCAUUUCCUCUAGUAUUUGCAAAAACACUUUAUAGUAAGCUGAUUUUAAAGUCUGGGUAUUAGUUUCAUAGGGUUCCCUCCAUACCCUUUAAGGACUGUUUCAUUGGUCAAACAUUUAUGAAGUUCAGUAAAUGUCUGAUGAAAGCUGAAGAUGUUGUAAAUGGAUCCUGUGUAAUGGGUGAGUUUCACAAUAAUGAAGUGUAAUUGAAUAGCAGGCAAGUAAUUCCUCCUUUAACUUCCUCAGUCCAGGGUGAGAGCAGUACAUGCAUACCUCCCCAAGACCUUCCUUACAAGGCAUGGUAAGCCUAUCUCACAAAGCACAGUGGGUGUCAUGAGAAGGUACUCUGGAAAAUCUCAUUAAGAAUCUAUUUGCACAGGCAUUAAAAGUUGCCCCUACAUGUAGGUUUAAGUCUGUAUGCACAAAUGCUUUGUCAGUGGUGCUAGAGAGAAAAGAAACAGCAGCUAGUCCACCAGACACAUACUGCACAGUACACACUUUGUGAGAACCACUGUUCACUGCAGAGAGCAAUUCCAGGUGUCCCCUCAGAUGCUGCAAUUCACAUAAACAUCUAUGCUGUGUGUUGGAGCAGGUGUAGAGGUGAGAAGGGAAGGGAAGAAGAGGAAAGGUGAGAGAAGGAAGAGAAAAUAAGGAAAGGAAAGGG
Molecule: long non-coding RNA, 2644 nt
Filed under: Gallus gallus (chicken)
Lineage: Eukaryota; Metazoa; Chordata; Aves; Galliformes; Phasianidae
Source: RNAcentral